This 633-nucleotide ribosomal RNA is filed under the name uncultured bacterium. RNAcentral describes it as "bacterial SSU rRNA". It matches the Rfam family "Bacterial small subunit ribosomal RNA", at positions 44 to 677 of the family's 1533-position model. The record is from RNAcentral.
AGGCUUAAUACAUGCAAGUCGAACGGUAAGGUCACUGCUUGCAGUGAUACACGAGUGGCGCACGGGUGAGUAACGCGUACACGACCUACCUUUAAGUAUGGGAUAGCCCUGGGAAACUGGGAUUAAUACCGUAUGUGAUAGUGGUUUAGGAUUGCUAUUAAAGAUUUAUCGCUUAAAGAUGGGUGUGCGUACUAUUAGCUAGUUGGUAAGGUAACGGCUUACCAAGGCGACGAUAGUUAGGGGGCGUGAGAGCGUGGACCCCCACACGGGUACUGAGACACGGACCCGACUCCUACGGGAGGCAGCAGUAAGGAAUAUUGGACAAUGGGGGCAACCCUGAUCCAGCCAUCCCGCGUGUAGGAAGACUGCCCUAUGGGUUGUAAACUACUUUUAUCAGGGAAGAAAAGUUGGCAUUUAUGCUGAUCUGACGGUACCUGAGGAAUAAGCACCGGCUAACUCCGUGCCAGCAGCCGCGGUAAUACGGAGGGUGCGAGCGUUAUCCGGAAUUACUGGGUUUAAAGGGUGCGUAGGCGGAAGUAUAAGUCAGAGGUGAAAUCACACAGCUUAACUGUGUAACCGCCUUUGAUACUGUAUUUCUUGAAUCAGAUUGAGGUUAGCGGAAUGUGACAUGUA